GACGAACGCUGGCGGCGUGCUUAACACAUGCAAGUCGAACGGAAAGGCCCUGCUUUUGUGGGGUGCUCGAGUGGCGAACGGGUGAGUAACACGUGAGUAACCUGCCCUUGACUUUGGGAUAACUUCAGGAAACUGGGGCUAAUACCGGAUAGGAGCUCCUGCUGCAUGGUGGGGGUUGGAAAGUUUCGGCGGUUGGGGAUGGACUCGCGGCUUAUCAGCUUGUUGGUGGGGUAGUGGCUUACCAAGGCUUUGACGGGUAGCCGGCCUGAGAGGGUGACCGGCCACAUUGGGACUGAGAUACGGACCAGACUCCUACGGGAGGCAGCAGUGGGGAAUAUUGCACAAUGGGCGGAAGCCUGAUGCAGCAACGCCGCGUGCGGGAUGACGGCCUUCGGGGUGUAAACCGCUGUCGCCUGUGACGAAGCGUGAGUGACGGUAAUGGGUAAAGAAGCACCGGCUAACUACGUG
RNAcentral lists this ribosomal RNA (468 nucleotides) under uncultured bacterium. RNAcentral describes it as "partial 16S ribosomal RNA". It matches the Rfam family "Bacterial small subunit ribosomal RNA", at positions 28 to 507 of the family's 1533-position model. The record is from RNAcentral.